Molecule: long non-coding RNA, 3031 nt
Organism: Zeugodacus cucurbitae (melon fly)
Lineage: Eukaryota; Metazoa; Arthropoda; Insecta; Diptera; Tephritidae
Exons: 2
Source: RefSeq, a predicted model, not a curated record
UUGGAGCAACUAGUAUUCCAUCCGGCAACAAAUUACUGUAUUUGUAUUUGAACAUGGUUACAAAACCACAGAACCAAGAACUAAGAAUAAGAACGUCAUUGCAACCUUCAGAAGUUCGUCUCGGAAGAUUUGGAUGACCAUUGUUGAAGGUCUUACCAAUCAAAAAUCGAUUCUGUCACCGCCGGCAAAGAAAGAAAAAUAAAAAUAUUGGAGCAACUAGUAUUCCAUCCGGCAACAAAUUACUGAAUUAAAAUGUGAGGUGUGAUAUUGUAUUUGAACAUGGUUACAAAACCACACAACCAAGAACUAAGAAUAAGAACGUCAUUGCAACCUUCAGAAGUUGGUCAAACUCAGAAGAUUUUGAUGACAUUUUUGAGCCAAUUGUUGAAGGUCUUACCAAUUCAAGAUCGAUGCUGUCUCCGCCAGCAAAGAAAGAAAGAUAAAAAUAUUGGAGCAACUAAUAUUCCAUUCAACAACAAAUUGUUGUAUUAACAUUUGAGGUGCGAUUUUGCACUCGAGCAAUGUCCAAGUGCGGACAUGGCUCCAAAAUCGAAGAUCAAAGAAUAGGAAGGUCAUUAGAACCUUACUGAAUUAAAAUGUGAGGUGUGAUAUUGUAUUUGAACAUGGUUACAAAACCACACAACCAAGAACUAAGAAUAAGAACGUCAUUGCAACCUUCAGAAGUUGGUCAAACUCAGAAGAUUUUGAUGACAUUUUUGAGCCAAUUGUUGAAGGUCUUACCAAUUCAAGAUCGAUGCUGUCUCCGCCAGCAAAGAAAGAAAGAUAAAAAUAUUGGAGCAACUAAUAUUCCAUUCAACAACAAAUUGUUGUAUUAACAUUUGAGGUGCGAUUUUGCACUCGAGCAAUGUCCAAGUGCGGACAUGGCUCCAAAAUCGAAGAUCAAAGAAUAGGAAGGUCAUUAGAACCUUACUGAAUUAAAAUGUGAGGUGUGAUAUUGUAUUUGAACAUGGUUACAAAACCACACAACCAAGAACUAAGAAUAAGAACGUCAUUGCAACCUUCAGAAGUUGGUCAAACUCAGAAGAUUUUGAUGACAUUUUUGAGCCAAUUGUUGAAGGUCUUACUAAUUCAAGAUCGAUGCUGUCUCCGCCAGCAAGGAAAUGUCCAAGUGCGGACAUGGCUCCAAAAUCCAAGAACAAAGAAUAGGAUGGUCAUUAGAACCUUCAGAAGCUGGUCGAACUCAAAAGAUUUGGAAGACAAUUGUUGAAGGUCUUACCAAUUCAAGAUCGAUGCUGUCUCCGCCAGCAAAGAAAGAAAGAUAAAAAUAUUGGAGCAACUAAUAUUCCAUUCAACAACAAAUUGUUGUAUUAACAUUUGAGGUGCGAUUUUGCACUCGAGCAAUGUUCAAGUGCGGACAUGGCUCAAAAAUCGAAGAACAAAGAAUAGGAAGGUCAUUAGAACCUUCAGAAGCUGGUCGAACUCAAAAGAUUUGGAAGACCAUUGUUGAAGAUCUUAGCAAUUCAAGAUCGAUUUUGUCAUCGCCGGCAAAGAAAAGUAAAAAUAAAAAUAUUGGAGCAACUAGUAUUCCAUCCGGCAACAAAUUACUGUAUUUGUAUUUGAACAUGGUUACAAAACCACAGAACCAAGAACUAAGAAUAAGAACGUCAUUGCAACCUUCAGAAGUUCGUCUCGGAAGAUUUGGAUGACCAUUGUUGAAGGUCUUACCAAUCAAAAAUCGAUUCUGUCACCGCCGGCAAAGAAAGAAAAAUAAAAAUAUUGGAGCAACUAGUAUUCCAUCCGGCAACAAAUUGUUGAAUUAACAUUUGAGGUGUGACAUUGCACUCGGGGUCAUUAUUUGACUGGAAAAAUAAUGUCACAAACGGUAUGAAAUUAAAGAAUUAAAGAAUUUUGACAUUCUAUAUAAAUGGUUUUAUAGAAAUUAUAUAAUAUAUGUGUUUAUGAUCAAAACUAUAAAUUAACAAGCAAGAAACGGCUAGAGCUGCACCUAACCACCUACCUCAAAUUAAAUAGUUUGCGAAUAUUCUUUUAACAGUCAUAUUAUGAUAUUCUGUAAUAAUGUAGAGUUCCUCCAAAGAGCUGGAAUAUUUGAGAACCUUUCUCAUCUGCUGUCUUCAAUUAAAUGACAAUUUCAUUUUGCUAAGUUGUCUUUAUAUACUAUUUUACGCAAAAAAUUAUAUUCAAUUUUGUUAAAAAUUUGCAAAAAACACAGCAUAUUUAAUGUUUAAUAAAGAAUUUUACUUGCUAGCACGACAAAUAAUAACAUUGAAAUACUUUGAAAACCUAUAUUUAACAAUGUGCCAAAAGGUAGGCAACAAAAUGUAUAGAAUCCUAAAUUUAUACUAUAGAUCUUCUUAAGCGCUACUAAUUAAGUUGCCAUUUAUCUCUAGCUGUGCCGAAAGAUACCUCUGGGUGGGUGGUCUAAAAAUUUCAAAAUUAAAAAAAAAUAAAUUUUGUCUUGUUAAAUAUUUCAAUAUGUUAAAUUAUCCAAAAAUAUAAAAUAGGAAAAUUCAAAGAAAUAUUCCCUUUACAAGUUCUGCCCAUCAGACCACAUUAGUUAGAAUAUAAAACUUUAAACGCGUAUAUUUCAAAAUCAAUUUUUUAAGUCGAUGUACACAUUUUGUCGAAAAGUUAAGAACCGAUUUUGCUCAAAUUUAGCACACAUCUUUGGAUAACAUUAUCUAGUUAAUGAACGAAUGUUUUUUAUUUAUAUAUUUUUUAUUUAUAUAUUUUUUACAACAUUUUUUCGAGCCAAUAUAUCGCGAAAAUUUUAUCAAAAAAGUGUUUUUUUUUAAAUUCUGUAAAAAAAAAAUUUAAUUUUUUUUCUUUUUUCUCUAAUUAAGGUCUUUCCUUCGUCCUAUCUAUCGAAAUAUUUUUGGUUUAUUGAUUUUAGAUCAACCUAUAAUGAAUUAUAAUGACACGGUAAGAGCAUUUUUUUGACACGUUUUGGAGAUGAGGUACCAACGACUGAGUUUACGGAAUUUUUAAAUUAAAAUUUCACAAAAAUGUGGUUAAUUGAAAUAUAUGAUGGUAUAUAUUUAAAUAAAAAAUU